RNAcentral lists this ribosomal RNA (559 nucleotides) under uncultured bacterium. RNAcentral's name for it is "bacterial SSU rRNA". It matches the Rfam family "Bacterial small subunit ribosomal RNA", at positions 119 to 674 of the family's 1533-position model. The record is from RNAcentral.
AGGAAUGUACCUUAGAGAGGGGGACAACUUGGGGAAACUCAAGCUAAUACCGCAUACGCUCUUCGGAGUAAAGCUGGGGACCUUCGGGCCUGGCGCUUUAAGAACAGCCUGCGUCCGAUUAGCUAGUUGGUGGGGUAAAGGCCUACCAAGGCGACGAUCGGUAGCUGGUCUGAGAGGAUGGUCAGCCACACUGGGACUGAGACACGGCCCAGACUCUUACGGGAGGCAGCAGUGGGGAAUAUUGGACAAUGGGGGCAACCCUGAUCCAGCAAUGCCGCGUGUGUGAAGAAGGCCUGAGGGUUGUAAAGCACUUUCAGUGGGGAGGAGGGUUAUUAGGUUAAGAGCCAGAUAACUGGACGUUACCCACAGAAGAAGCACCGGCUAACUCCGUGCCAGCAGCCGCGGUAAUACGGAGGGUGCGAGCGUUAAUCGGAAUUACUGGGCGUAAAGGGUGCGUAGGUGGUUUAACAAGUUAUCUGUGAAAGUCCUGGGCUCAACCUAGGGAGGCCAGAUAAGACUGUUAGACUAGAGUAUAGGAGAGGGCAGUGGAAUUUCCGGU